CCAAUAUGCACACAUACAACAUGCACACACCAACAUGCACACAUACAACAUGCACACACACCAACAUGCACACUCACACCAACAUGCACACACUCAUACCAUGUGCAUAUACACCAAUAUGCACACAUACAACAUGCACACACACCAACAUGCACUCACACCAACAUGCACACACACCAACAUGCACACAUACACCAACAUGCACACUCACACCAACAUGCACACACACCAACAUGCACUCACACCAACAUGCACACACACCAACAUGCACACACACCACUGUGCACCCAUACCAACAUGCACACACACACCAAAAUGCACACACACCAACAUGCACAAACAUGCACACAUACACCAACAUGCACACUCACAUCAACAUGCACACUCACACCAACAUGCACACACCCUUACACCAAUAUGCACACAUACACCAACAUGCACACUCACACCAACAUGCACACUCACACCAACAUGCACACACCCUUACACCAACAUGCACACUCACGCCAACAUGCACACUCAUACCAUGCGCAUAUACACCAAUAUGCACACAUACAACAUGCACACACCAACAUGCACACAUACAACAUGCACACACCAACAUGCACACAUACAACAUGCAUACACACCAAUGCACACUCACACCAACAUGCACACUCAUACCAUGUGCAUAUACACCAAUAUGCACACAUACAAUGUGCACACACCAACAUGCACACUCACACCAAUAUGCACACACACCAACAUGCACACACACCAACAUGCACACAUACACCAACAUGCACACACCAACAUGCACACUCACACCAACAUGCACACACACCAACGUGCACACUCGCACCAACAUGCACACACACCAUGCACUCACACCAACAUGCAUACAUACACCAACGUGCACUCACACCAACAUGCACACUCACACCAACAUGCACACCAACAUGCACAUACACCUACACACAUACACCAACAUGCACACUCACACCAACAUUCACACACAUGCACACACACCAACAUGCACACACAACAUGCACACUCACACCAACAUGCACACACACCAACAUGCACACACAUGCACACUCACACCAACAUGCACACACACCAACAUGCACACAUACACCAACAUGCACACUCACACCAACAUGCACACAUACACCAUACACACCAAUAUGCACACACUCAAAACACACCAAUAUGCACACAUACCAACAGGCACACACACACCAACAUGCACACAUACACACCAAUAUGCACACACUUAUACCAACAUGCAUACACACACCCAACGUGCACACACACACAGAAUAGUCACUUUAGGACGGGGAAAUAUACCAACUUUAAUCAAGGGGGAGAAAAGCCUCGCUACGACCCCUCCCAUCACUCUUAAACAGCCAGUUGAUGAUAGUGACAGCUGAUUAGAGGGCUCUUGUCCAGAGGCGGCCCAGCAAGGGACAGAAUGAGACAGCCUAACUACAGUAUCAGAGAACACUGCUAAUGGUUUUCCCCAAGCUGCAGCAAAGUGAUUGACUUCCAGCCCCAGUAACUUCCAGGACUUCAUUUGCCACAAGAGUGCCCCUAAUUCUAAGUUGGUGUC
Molecule: long non-coding RNA, 1591 nt
Filed under: Pan troglodytes (chimpanzee)
Lineage: Eukaryota; Metazoa; Chordata; Mammalia; Primates; Hominidae
Description: long non-coding RNA NONPTRT003677
Source: RNAcentral